GUGAACGUGUGGGGGGGCAUCCAGAAAAGAUGAUCGCAAGGGUCUGGCUUGCCCAAGGCGUUAGGCAGCUCAGCCUCUCUGCAUCUCCUUGCAGGUGCCUCUGAACCAUGGUUGGGAAGUCACAGAGACGCUGCCCUUUAAUCUCUCUGUAGAGGAGCUGAAAAGCAGCCAGGAGUUGCUGUGUGCGAGGUCCUGCCCUUUACACCUCCCGUCCCCAGCCGGCCGACGCUGCCCAGCCUGCCCAUCCUCCCGGCACCUCGGUAAGUGCUCGGGGCGCACAGCUGGCUCCCCUCUCUCUGCUGCCUGGUCUUUCAACUUCCCUAGGUUCUUGGCCCCUCCUUUGUACAUCUGGGGUUCAGGAAGCAAUCUGUGCUGCUUCUCUCUCAGCCCUGCUGGGCYGAGGCCUCCAGUUCCCGUGCAACAUGAGUGCUUGCAGAGCCCGCGGCAGUUACUGCUCUGUGGACCUGUCUUCUGCUCUUUGGCUUUCCUCUCAYUGCUGAUGGGCGAUUCAGUAAGGAUAUUAGCAGCCAAAGGCUGAGAUGAUGCUGGUUCUCUUGGAACAUAYUCCURAAAGGAGAAUUUGCUGUAGUAGGAGUGGAUCCCAGCAUGGUGCAUGUAAGAUGGGAGAUGGGAAUGAAAGUGAAGAGGUAGAGAGCAGGCRGAAGGAAAGAAAGAAAGAAAAGGAUCCUAAAUCAUCAGCUGGAGACUACCUGUUGCAGUGGGAAGCUUAAGCUGCUUUCCUUAGGAAAGGAGAGGGAAAGUAACUCUGAUUUGCACAUCCAGCAUAGCUGAAAACCCUGAAUCUCUGUCCUUAGCAGGGGACUGUGGGUAUUGGGGGAAGAAAUGCUCUGAGGCAGGACCUAAAGAUCUUUCAACAAACKAAACUUUUCCAUCUCAAGGCUAGGCUCAGCAUCACAGCACCUGAGGUCCAAAAUUAAGCUGUGCAAUUUCUAUCUAUGCUACCAUUCUUGUGUGUGAUGCCAG
RNAcentral lists this long non-coding RNA (984 nucleotides) under Dromaius novaehollandiae (emu). RNAcentral's name for it is "lncRNA (ENSDNVG00000007415.1)". The record is from RNAcentral. Lineage: Eukaryota; Metazoa; Chordata; Aves; Casuariiformes; Dromaiidae.